This 619-nucleotide unclassified non-coding RNA is filed under the name uncultured Scytalidium. RNAcentral describes it as "sequence contains ITS1, 5.8S rRNA gene, ITS2". The stretch from base 242 to 395 matches the Rfam family "5.8S ribosomal RNA". The record is from RNAcentral. Lineage: Eukaryota; Fungi; Ascomycota.
GGAAGUAAAAGUCGUAACAAGGUCUCCGUAGGUGAACCUGCGGAGGGAUCAUUAGCGAGUUAUCACAACUCUCCCAAACCCAUUGUGAACCUACCCUUCACGUUGCUUCGGCGGGUCGGGCGCUGUGCCGCCCCUCCGGGCGACCCGGGGCUCCCCAAGGCCCCGGGCCCGCCGCCCGCCGGAGGUACGCAAACUCUUGUUCAUUGUACGGCCUCUCUGAGUGAAGUACUGAAUAAGUCAAAACUUUCAACAACGGAUCUCUUGGUUCUGGCAUCGAUGAAGAACGCAGCGAAAUGCGAUAAGUAAUGUGAAUUGCAGAAUUCCGUGAAUCAUCGAAUCUUUGAACGCACAUUGCGCCCGCCGGUAUUCCGGCGGGCAUGCCUGUUCGAGCGUCAUUUCAACCAUCAAGCCCUGGGCUUGUGUUGGGGACCCGCGGCUGCUCGCGGGCCCUGAAAAGCAGUGGCGGGCUCGCUAGUCACACCGAGCGUAGUAGAGCUUCUAUUCGAUCUCGCUCAGGGCGUGCGGCGGGUGCCGGCCGUAAAACCCCAGCUUCUUCUAAGGUUGACCUCGGAUCAGGUAGGAGGACCCGCUGAACUUAAGCAUAUCAAUAAGCGGAGGA